RNAcentral lists this small RNA (107 nucleotides) under Flavobacteriaceae bacterium. RNAcentral describes it as "6S RNA". It matches the Rfam family "6S-Flavo RNA". The record is from RNAcentral. RNAcentral also lists the same sequence under 1 other name. Lineage: Bacteria; Pseudomonadati; Bacteroidota; Flavobacteriia; Flavobacteriales; Flavobacteriaceae.
ACUCAACGUUAAUUCUUUAAAAAGGGUGAGUUUAAGUUGUAAAAGCGAGCUGCCUAGAGCAGAUACUUGAUCAGCUUGUUAGCCCUAAACUUGUUUUUAAGGAGUUU